AUGCCCGUAGCUCAGAUGGCAGAGCACCGGUCUCCAAAACCGGGCGUCGCAGGUUCGAACCCUGCCGGGUAUG
RNAcentral lists this transfer RNA (73 nucleotides) under Mycetocola reblochoni REB411. It matches the Rfam family "tRNA". From Rfam's summary of the family: Transfer RNA (tRNA) molecules are approximately 80 nucleotides in length. Their secondary structure includes four short double-helical elements and three loops (D, anti-codon, and T loops). Lineage: Bacteria; Bacillati; Actinomycetota; Actinomycetes; Micrococcales; Microbacteriaceae. The record is from Rfam by way of RNAcentral.